UGGGGAAUAUUGCACAAUGGGCGCAAGCCUGAUGCAGCCAUGCCGCGUGUGUGAAGAAGGCCUUCGGGUUGUAAAGCACUUUCAGCGAGGAGGAAGGUGGUGAACUUAAUACGUUCAUCAAUUGACGUUACUCGCAGAAGAAGCACCGGCUAACUCCGUGCCAGCAGCCGCGGUAAUACGGAGGGUGCAAGCGUUAAUCGGAAUUACUGGGCGUAAAGCGCACGCAGGCGGUUUGUUAAGUCAGAUGUGAAAUCCCCGGGCUCAACCUGGGAACUGCAUUUGAAACUGGCAAGCUAGAGUCUCGUAGAGGGGGGUAGAAUUCCAGGUGUAGCGGUGAAAUGCGUAGAGAUCUGGAGGAAUACCGGUGGCGAAGGCGGCCCCCUGGACGAAGACUGACGCUCAGGUGCGAAAGCGUGGGGCAGCAAACAGGAUUAGAUACCCUGGUAGUCCACGCUGUAAACGAUGUCGAUUUUGGAGGUUGUGCCCUUGAGGCGUGGCUUCCGGAGCUAACGCGUUAAAUCGACCGCCUGGGGAGUACGGCCGCAAGGUUAAAACUUAAAGG
RNAcentral lists this ribosomal RNA (562 nucleotides) under uncultured bacterium. RNAcentral describes it as "partial 16S ribosomal RNA". It matches the Rfam family "Bacterial small subunit ribosomal RNA", at positions 355 to 907 of the family's 1533-position model. The record is from RNAcentral.